CGUAGUGGCGGACGGGUGAGUAACGCGUGGGUAACCUGCCUUACACAGGGGGAUAACACCUGGAAACAGGUGCUAAUACCGCAUAAGCGCACAGGGCCGCAUGGCCCGGUGUGAAAAACUCCGGUGGUGUAAGAUGGACCCGCGUCUGAUUAGCUUGUUGGCGGGGUAGAGGCCCACCAAGGCGACGAUCAGUAGCCGGCCUGAGAGGGUGGACGGCCACAUUGGGACUGAGACACGGCCCAAACUCCUACGGAAGGCAGCAG
RNAcentral lists this ribosomal RNA (263 nucleotides) under uncultured bacterium. Its description in RNAcentral is "partial 16S ribosomal RNA". It matches the Rfam family "Bacterial small subunit ribosomal RNA", at positions 91 to 354 of the family's 1533-position model. The record is from RNAcentral.